RNAcentral lists this ribosomal RNA (449 nucleotides) under uncultured bacterium. RNAcentral describes it as "SSU rRNA". It matches the Rfam family "Bacterial small subunit ribosomal RNA", at positions 26 to 518 of the family's 1533-position model. The record is from RNAcentral.
AGAGCGAACGCUGGCGGCAGGCCUAACACAUGCAAGUCGAGCGCGUGUAGCAAUACACGAGCGGCAGACGGGAGAGUAACACGUGGGAACGCGCCCUUCGGUUCGGAAUAACUCAGGGAAACUUGAGCUAAUACCGGAUACGCCCUUACGGGGGAAAGAUUUAUUGCCGAAGGAACGGCCCGCGUCCGAUUAGCUAGUUGGUGAGGUAACGGCUCACCAAGGCGACGAUCGGUAGCUGGUCUGAGAGGAUGACCAGCCUCACUGGGACUGAGACACGGCCCAGACUCCUACGGGAGGCAGCAGUGGGGAAUAUUGGACAAUGGGCGCAAGCCUGAUCCAGCCAUGCCGCGUGGAUGAUGAAGGCCUUAGGGUUGUAAAGUCCUUUUAACGGGGAAGAUAAUGACGGUACCCGUAGAAUAAGCCCCGGCUAACUUCGUGCCAGCAGCCGC